AACAAGAGGAAACAAGGAAUCAUCUGUCCUCUUGGCUGAACGGACCUUGCCGUAAAACUUCAUUUGUACAGUAAACCAUCACAGUUAAAAGUGAGCUCUCCCGUUCGUAAGAAAUGUCCAAACAGGGGCGCCUGGAGAGACGGAAAGCACAGGAAGGUUUGCUAGUGCUAACCCAGGCAACGGGGAAUGACUGCGAAAAGGCGUGGAGUUUCUUUUUGGGGUGAUGAGAACGUUCUAGAAUUAGAUCGUGGUGAUAGCUGUACAACUUUGUGAAUAGACUUAAAAAAAAAAACAAAACCCACGAAACUACACUUUCAAAUGGUGAAUUCCAUG
Long non-coding RNA from Neofelis nebulosa (Clouded leopard), 333 nucleotides. RefSeq lists it as uncharacterized. Lineage: Eukaryota; Metazoa; Chordata; Mammalia; Carnivora; Felidae. The record is from RefSeq and is a predicted model, not a curated record. The transcript is spliced from 2 exons.